RNAcentral lists this ribosomal RNA (253 nucleotides) under uncultured bacterium. RNAcentral's name for it is "partial 16S ribosomal RNA". It matches the Rfam family "Bacterial small subunit ribosomal RNA", at positions 524 to 776 of the family's 1533-position model. The record is from RNAcentral.
UACAGAGGGUGCGAGCGUUGUUCGGAAUUAUUGGGCGUAAAGCGCUUGUAGGCGGCUUGUUAAGUUCCGUGUGAAAUCCCCAGGCUUAACCUGGGAAGUGCGCGGAAAACUGGCGAGCUUGAAUGCCGUAGAGGGACGCGGAAUUCCCGGUGUAGAGGUGAAAUUCGUAGAUAUCGGGAGGAACACCAGUGGCGAAGGCGGCGACCUGGACGGACAUUGACGCUGAGACGCGAAAGCGUGGGGAGCAAACAGG